RNAcentral lists this long non-coding RNA (486 nucleotides) under Capsicum annuum. RNAcentral describes it as "long non-coding RNA (CANN_LNC018309)". Lineage: Eukaryota; Viridiplantae; Streptophyta; Magnoliopsida; Solanales; Solanaceae. The record is from RNAcentral.
GAGGAGAUUUCUUGGGUGGUGGAGGAGAGCUAUAGUAGUAUGGUGGAGGUGGUGACUUAACUGGUGGUGGUGGAGAAGUGUAGUGAUAUGGUGGAGGAGGUGAUUUCUUGGGUGGUGGAGGAGAGUUGUAGUAGUAUGGUGGAGGAGGUGACUUAACCGGCGGUGGUGGAGAAGUGUAGUGAUAUGGUGGAGGAGGUGAUUUCUUGGGUGGUGGAGGAGAGUUGUAGUAGUAUGGUGGAGGAGGUGACUUAACCGGCGGUGAUGGAUAAGUGUAGUAGUAGUAUGGUGGAGGAGGUGACUUAACCGGCGGUGAUGGAUAAGUGUAGUGAUAUGGUGGAGGAGGUGAUUUCUUGGGUGGUGGAGGAGAGCUAUAGUAGUAUGGUGGAGGAGGUGACUUAACCGGCGGUGGUGGAGAAGUGUAGUGAUACGGUGGAGGAGGUGAUUUCUUUGGUGGUGGAGGAGAGCUAUAGUAGUAUGGUGGGGGAG